This 89-nucleotide transfer RNA is filed under the name Gammaproteobacteria bacterium HGW-Gammaproteobacteria-9. RNAcentral's name for it is "tRNA-Met". It matches the Rfam family "tRNA". From Rfam's summary of the family: Transfer RNA (tRNA) molecules are approximately 80 nucleotides in length. Their secondary structure includes four short double-helical elements and three loops (D, anti-codon, and T loops). The record is from RNAcentral. Lineage: Bacteria; Pseudomonadati; Pseudomonadota; Gammaproteobacteria.
GGGCCUAUAGCUCAGUUGGUAGCUCAGUUGGUUAGAGCAGAGGACUCAUAAUCCUUUGGUCCACGGUUCGAGUCCGUGUGGGCCCACCA